This 486-nucleotide long non-coding RNA is filed under the name Homo sapiens (human). RNAcentral's name for it is "HSALNT0290461". Lineage: Eukaryota; Metazoa; Chordata; Mammalia; Primates; Hominidae. The record is from RNAcentral.
CGCCUGCUGCAGAAGCUUCCAGAAACUCCCUGAAUGGGGAAAUGGAGAGAGAACCUGAAAGAGCCCCAAACUCGAGGACCUAUUGCUCCCCAAGAAUAACAUCUUCCAGAAGAACUAGACAGAAAACUAGGCGUCUGGGAACUCUGAAAUCCUUGGAGGAGUAGCAUCAUCAUGACCCUCUGUGUUCCUUUUGGCAAAGGACUUGCUCCCAUUGUUUGCUUGUUCAAUUGUCUGUCCGUUAAAUAAAUAAAACCCUUUUCCUAUAUCUUUAAAAUUACGUUGGUUUUAUCAUUUUAUGAUUACAAGUAAUGCUGCAGUCAUCAUUCUUGUACACUCUCAUUGGCCACUGGUGUAUUUCUAUAGGGUGGAGGCCUGGAGAGUAGUUGUUCCAGCAUAGUGUUUACAUAGCUUUUAUUUCAUUCCGUUUUCUUUCCUUUGUUGCUUUAUUAGCUAUAACCGUUUUCUUAUUUCAGAGGCUGCUUUAGG